Molecule: long non-coding RNA, 298 nt
Organism: Micropterus dolomieu (smallmouth bass)
Lineage: Eukaryota; Metazoa; Chordata; Actinopteri; Centrarchiformes; Centrarchidae
Exons: 2
Source: RefSeq, a predicted model, not a curated record
CAGGUCGUGAGCGUCUGUCAGGAAUCCUCGGGGUGAGCGCCGAGCAGGCCAGCCGAUUCCAGGACAGCUUCCUCCAGACCUACAGAGAAGUCCAGACCUUCAUCCAGAGGACCAUCCAGCAGUGCCACAGACAAGGAUCACACUACCUCCGGGAACUCUGCUGAACGCCACACCCUGCUCAGCUCACAUCUUGCCUGGACAAACUCCCCUCCACCGUGUUCUCCAUUCUGCCCUGUUGGAACCUACCACCCAGUCUUCCGUUGCUCUUUUCAAUAAAACCCUUUGUUACCCCUUCGAA